This 190-nucleotide ribosomal RNA is filed under the name uncultured Bacteroides sp. RNAcentral describes it as "partial 16S ribosomal RNA". It matches the Rfam family "Bacterial small subunit ribosomal RNA", at positions 338 to 524 of the family's 1533-position model. Lineage: Bacteria; Pseudomonadati; Bacteroidota; Bacteroidia; Bacteroidales; Bacteroidaceae. The record is from RNAcentral.
CGUUCGGGAGGCAGCAUUUAGGAAUAUUGGUCAAUGGGCGAAAGCCUGCACCAUGCCAAGUCGCGUGAAGGAAGAAGGAUCUAUGGUUUGUAAACUUCUUUUAUAUGGGAAUAAAGUGAGGAACGUGUUCCUUUUUGUAUGUACCAUAUGAAUAAGCAUCGGCUAACUCCGUGCCAGCAGCCGCGGUAAU